CCUACGGGUGACAGCAGUGGGGAAUAUUGCACAAUGGGGGGAACCCUGAUGCAGCGACGCCGCGUGGGUGAAGCCGUAUUUCGGUAUGUAAAGCCCUAUCAGCAGGGAAGAACCAUGACGGUACCUGACUAAGAAGCACCUGCUCAAUACGUGCCAGCAGCCUCGGUAAUACGUAUGGUGCAAGCGUUAUCCGGCUUUACGGGGUGUAAGGGGGGCGCAGGCUGUGCGUUAAGCCUGGUGUGAAAGCCCGGGGCCCAACCGCGGUACUGCAUUGGGAACUUGCGCGCUGGAGUGCCGGAGGGGUAGGCGGAAUGCAUAGUGUAGCGGUGAAAUGCGUAGAUAUUAGGAGGAACACCAGUGGCGAAGGCGGCCUACUGGACGGUGACUGACGCUGAGGCUCGAAAGCGUGGGGAGCAAACAGGAUUAGAUACCCCAGUAGUC
This 441-nucleotide ribosomal RNA is filed under the name uncultured bacterium. RNAcentral describes it as "partial 16S ribosomal RNA". It matches the Rfam family "Bacterial small subunit ribosomal RNA", at positions 338 to 795 of the family's 1533-position model. The record is from RNAcentral.